GUUUCUCUUUCCGCUUGACUUCUUGGCAGUCUCUUAACCUCCAGACUCCAUGUAUUGGGUUCCGCCGAAAGCAAAACAAAACACAGUAAGACUUUGCAUUUGCUUAUCUGUUUGCAGAAUGAGGUUUCAAAGGGGCCAGCCUUCCCCCUCCGUGGCUCAGAGAGAAGUGUGUGGGUCCGUGAAAAGAAACUGCAAGGUUCCUGACUGCGGUUCCCUCGGUGAUGGGCUAGAAGUGUUCAAUGAAUUUUCCUAAACAAGCUGCUUGCUGUCAGACUAUGUUAUCACAGCAAUAAAAGAGACUGGAGCACAGACCUCUCAGAUCUUGGAGGCUGCGGUCUGGAUCCGUCGCCAAGGAUGAGAUCCAGGAGAAAACGUGCUCAACGUGCAGCUUUGCUCCUACUGAUUACAGCCCCACAGAUGACAUCGCUCCACAGUCACACCAAGUCUCCUGUGGGAGUCUUGCUCCUCGUUCCCAGCGUCUGCUACAGCUCAGUAUUUUAGUGUCAGAACGUCGGCUCCCAGCCCGCACCUCCGCUCAGCAAUGCCAUUAUCUUCUCAGCCAAGUCCUAGAAAUGGGUUGGCUUCCCAGUUAAUGCUUUUCAUGCUCUCAAGAGCAAUCGGAGGCUUUCAUACCCAAUUCCUGGAUUCAGUGCUACCCCCUGCAGGAUCUGGCUCCAUUUCCUCAGUCUGGUCCUAAUUCUGUGCAAUGACAUCAUUUACCCACAUUCCCACCGAGAUGCCCAGAUUUCUUCUAGCCGGCGUACAUCCGAAAAAAAAAAAAAAAAAAAAAAAAAAAAACCAAAUGACCUUGGGCGGGUACUUCUGGUUAAGGACUCUUACUAUUUUUCUCUGUCCAGUUGCAGUCUGCAGCGGCAAAUGGGGGUGAGAUGUAGUGAUGUUACACUCGAUUUCUCCAAAUGAACUAAAACAAAACUGAAGAAA
Long non-coding RNA from Rattus norvegicus (Norway rat), 942 nucleotides. RefSeq lists it as uncharacterized. Lineage: Eukaryota; Metazoa; Chordata; Mammalia; Rodentia; Muridae. The record is from RefSeq and is a predicted model, not a curated record.